GGGGUUGUAGCUCAGUGGUAGAGCACUAACCUAGCAUGUAUGAGGCACUGGGUUUGAUUCUCAGCACCA
Molecule: transfer RNA, 69 nt
Filed under: Ictidomys tridecemlineatus (thirteen-lined ground squirrel)
Lineage: Eukaryota; Metazoa; Chordata; Mammalia; Rodentia; Sciuridae
Description: Spermophilus tridecemlineatus (thirteen-lined ground squirrel) tRNA
Rfam family: tRNA
About the family: Transfer RNA (tRNA) molecules are approximately 80 nucleotides in length. Their secondary structure includes four short double-helical elements and three loops (D, anti-codon, and T loops).
Source: Rfam by way of RNAcentral